UCCGACAAAGACAAACCCCGAGUGAUCGGGGGACGUAAAGCUUCGGGUCAGAAAUGAUGGCCGGGUUGCCGAAG
Molecule: non-coding RNA, 74 nt
Filed under: Candidatus Zhuqueibacterota
Lineage: Bacteria; Pseudomonadati
Description: Candidate division c-di-GMP sequence
Rfam family: c-di-GMP-I-GGC riboswitch aptamer
Source: RNAcentral